Molecule: ribosomal RNA, 232 nt
Filed under: uncultured bacterium
Lineage: Bacteria
Also listed under: 1 other name
Description: partial 16S ribosomal RNA
Rfam family: Bacterial small subunit ribosomal RNA
Source: RNAcentral
CGAACGGGUGAGUAAUAUAUCGGAACGUACCGAGUAAUGGGGGAUAACUAAUCGAAAGAUUAGCUAAUACCGCAUAUUCUCUGAGGAGGAAAGCAGGGGACCUUCGGGCCUUGCGUUAUUCGAGCGGCCGAUAUCUGAUUAGCUAGUUGGUGGGGUAAAGGCCUACCAAGGCGACGAUCAGUAGCGGGUCUGAGAGGAUGAUCCGCCACACUGGGACUGAGACACGGCCCAG